RNAcentral lists this unclassified non-coding RNA (336 nucleotides) under soil metagenome. Its description in RNAcentral is "partial contains 5.8S ribosomal RNA, internal transcribed spacer 2, and large subunit ribosomal RNA". The stretch from base 1 to 120 matches the Rfam family "5.8S ribosomal RNA", at positions 35 to 154 of the family's 154-position model. The record is from RNAcentral.
GAUGAAGAACGUAGCGAAAUGCGAUAAGUAGUGUGAAUUGCAGAAUUCAGUGAAUCAUCGAAUCUUUGAACGCACAUUGCGCCCCUUGGUAUUCCAUGGGGCAUGCCUGUUCGAGCGUCAUUUGUACCUUCAAGCUCUGCUUGGUGUUGGGUGUUUGUCUCGCCUCUGCGUGUAGACUCGCCUCAAACAAUUGGCAGCCGGCGUAUUGAUUUCGGAGCGCAGUACAUCUCGCGCUUUGCACUCAUAACGACGACGUCCAAAAGUACAUUUUUACACUCUUGACCUCGGAUCAGGUAGGGAUACCCGCUGAACUUAAGCAUAUCAAUAAGCGGAGGA